ACAACCUCAAAUUUUUUUCAUUUCUAGAAUUAGUAUUGUAAAGAAAACUUAUAACGGAAAUAUAAAAAUGCAACAUCUCUUUUUUGGAUUUUUGAGUUACAACACAUUUUGUCAAAUAUAAAACAGAAAAUAACAAUAAUAAAAAGACUUGACAUUACUGUACAAAAGUAGAAAGUAAAAGACGACAUAAAACGAGGAACAUACUCAAAACAUAAAAAUAAAACAAAUCUCCUUAAGCAACUCCUGACUGAGCGAUCUUGACCGGAUGGUCACGGGGUGUCUGCCAUGCUCAAAUUUCGGUAAAUAAAUCUACACCUGUAUGAGAAAACUUUAACCAACACUAUGUGAGAUAAUAACACUCCUUAUUAGACACAUGCAAGACAUAAUUGGGACUAUUUUUGCAAAAUGACUUAUUUGGCCAAAAGGUGGCUAGAAGUGCAAAAUUUGGCUAAGACCCUGCAAAGCCAAGAACUUAAGAUUUACUAGGAAGACCGGACCCUAUGUGGGUUGCCUACGUAUCCCGCCCCGAGAUACGAGAAUCAGGUUCGCGUAGUUCGGGCAAAUUGGAUACGUGCGAGAAUAACAAAAAAAAACCACUAAUUCAUAGAAAUCACAUUUUUUUUUUGCUUUUUCUUGAAAAAUGACAAAACAUGCAAAAUCUUUUUGGAUUUUCUUUUUCUCUUUUUUUUUUGAUUUUUGAUUUUUGAAAAAUGAUGAAAAAGUGCAAAAUCUUUUUUUUGAAUUUUUCAUAUUUUUUCUUAAAAAUGUAACAAAAAACAUAACUAGACCCUACUUGCAUUAUUUUUCACACUUCCCCUUCUUUUUUUUCUUUUUUUUCUUCUUCUUUCUUUUUUCAUUGUUUUUUCCUUUUUUUUUUCUUUUUUUCAUUUCUUCAUUUACCCUCAUUUAUCAUUGAUCCGCCAAAUGACCCUUUUACCCUUGACUAAAUGCAACAUGUAGCACAUAAAAUGCAUCAGGAUGGUCUUUUUCAUUUUUGGUAUACCUGUCCUAGACAUACUCAACCCCUGUGUUGAGUCUCCAAAGUUAAAUGCACAUGAUGCAAGCAAACGUUCCUACUAGGGAUCCGGCAUGAGGUUUUGUUGUACUAGGUCCAAAACCUGGGUUUAUUGUUCUAGACCUGGCUUACCCGAGCGGACAGCUCGAGCCNNNNNNNNNNNNNNNNNNNNNNNNNGAAGUCACACGAAGAACACACUUCUUCAUGAUUUAGAAGACUCAGAGAGAAGAGGGAUUUCACAACAAUUUAUAUACAGUUCACGGAAUAUCAAAGCGGUAAAAUCAAUCAAUUAGCACAUUAGGCCCAAAUCAUGUAACAAAUUCAGAUAAUGGAUAAAGCCAACUAUAACAAUUAUUCUAAGCUCGAAUUCUUGAACCCUGAACUAGAGAUUCUGGGUUCGAUCCCCAGCAGAGUCGCCAGAGCUGUCACACCUCCUUUUUUACUACACCCCCGAAAGAGGGUAUAAAGGAGUUUUUCCAAUCAAAGGACAAUCGAAACGGGAUUUAUUAUAAAGAUUCAGAGUCGCCACUUGGGAGAUUUAUGGUGUCCCAAGUCACCAGUUGCAUUCCGAAUCGAGGAAAAUAUGACUCUAUUUAACAGUCCGCGAACCAGAAAUCCGAGUAAGGAAUUCUGUUAACCCGGGUGUAUUAGGCAUUCCCAGGUUCCGUGGUUCUAGCACAGUCGCUUAAACUAUUAUAAUUGGUCUAUUAUCUGAUUUUAAUACAAGUUUUAGCCUAUGGUACAUUUUUAACUUAUUAGCCUCUUUUGAUUAUUUUUAAGGAAGACUUCAACGUCAUCUAAAACACGUCUUUGGACCACGCCACAUGAAAUGCACCCGCAGUCCGAGACACAUUUUAUUUAACAUUGUUGAGAUUUUGGAGUUGGAUCACAUGAAAUGCACACCCAAAUUUAAUAAAUAAGGAAAACAAUUUAAAUAGCGCACUUAAAACAACUACGCACUUUCAAAUUUAAAGCAAGCUUUGUGAGGGCCACGGAAAUCUAAGAAUGACACACCUCAACUAAUUAAAGGAACUAGCUAAUUGAUUAAAAGGCUAAAGGAAUUUCCACUUUAUUUUAAGCACAUAUUUAAACUAAACUAAAAAAAAAAUAGCUAGCACUAAACAAUUUGGAUUAAAGAACAUGGCUUGUGUUUUCGACGCCAACUUGAAUUGUGACUACAAUUGAUUGGACCUAUAAAACUUUACAGAUUAUUACCAAGAGAUUGGAGUCAAAAUCACCCAAAACCUAUCUGACUAACUCUUACCAAACUAAUAAGAUGCAAUAGAGAAACCCCAAUACAAAGAAAAGAAGCACCUAUAAGGAAUUUGAGUAGAGAAAGCAAAUAUGGUAUUCAGGUGAUGGAGACCACAGUGGUCUUCCCAGAGCUUGGAGGUCCCAAAAGCAAAGUCAUUCUACAUGGCUUAAUCAUACCAUUUACAUCUUUGAGAAUUGUAAUUUGCCUCUUUUUACUACGUAGGAUGAAAUGCAACAGACGAGCAACUAGCAACACACUUGUGAACUCAACUGAUUUCCGUAUAUGAAAACUCGAGCAACAGUAUAUAUUUCUCAAGUGCAAAAUUAGAUCAAAUAAAAUCACAUGGUUAACUAGUGGUAUUAUACACCCGUUUUCAAGCUCAGAUGGUGACUUUAACAUUGAAUAAACUCCCACAAGAUCUAACAAGCAUUUUACCAAACAGAUUUCAUACAAUAGACACUCAACCAUAAAUCCAUCUUAGUUAUAAGAUUCAAAAGAUGAAAUGGAAAUAAGCACCGGAAACUUACACAAAUAGAGCAACGGUUUUCUGAUUAACCGAAUCGCAGCAAUUACAUGGACUGAAACAGAGUAACGGUUACAACCGGAAAUCAACACAGCUUCAAACGAAUCGGCAAAAUCGAACCAGAAUCUCGGAUCAGAACAACAAACCGCACCUCAAAUAGAAACUUAGAUUACGCAUCAAUCGCACCUCAAAAAUGAAAUCACGAACUGAAUUCCAUGAUUGAAAGCCACAUCAAGGAAGAGGAAAUUCCAGAAUAUCGUUACCUUUUUUCUGAUUUUUUUUUGAAUGUGAAAGGAAACUUGACGAGAAAUUGAAGCUAAAAAUGGAAAAGAAGAAAAUCGGUUUCUCUGCUUUCCUCUCCAUUUUUAUUCCCAUAAUUUGUCCCAAAUUCUUUGUCCAAAAGCUCUUUUGAUUAUCAUUCCCAAACUUGCGUGUGUGUGUGAGUGUAAUGGCUGCUUCAUUUCUUUGGAGAAGAAACCAUGGCUGAGGCUGCGUCGAAGAAGAACGACGGGGUCUGUUUGCUUGUGCCCAAAAAUGUGGCGGAUCCGAUUUGUUUAGGGGUCUUUUUGUUUUCUAUGAAGAAGAAGAAACGUGAGGGAGGGGGUCUGUGAAAGAGACGGGAAUCUGGGGGGGGGNNNN
This 3432-nucleotide long non-coding RNA is filed under the name Nicotiana tabacum (common tobacco). RNAcentral describes it as "long non-coding RNA (NTAB_LNC005265)". The record is from RNAcentral. Lineage: Eukaryota; Viridiplantae; Streptophyta; Magnoliopsida; Solanales; Solanaceae.